AAAUCAGGUUGCAAUUAUAGUGCUUCAUUUUCUGGAGCACUGCCAUUAUCCUGCUGAAAGAAUACCUGUGUUAAUCAUUUUUUAUUUUGCCUUUAUGAGGGUAAAAUAAUGACAGAAUGAAACGGACAAUU
Small nucleolar RNA from Microcebus murinus (gray mouse lemur), 131 nucleotides. The record is from Ensembl. Lineage: Eukaryota; Metazoa; Chordata; Mammalia; Primates; Cheirogaleidae.